CUCUUUCUGAUUGAGUGUAAGCUGCUAUAUGAAGGGAUCCACAAGACGAAUAAUUAAGGGGGACCUCUGAUCAACAGCCAGCAAGGAACUGAAUCCCUCAGACCCACAACUCACAAGAAACUGAAGCUGAAGCAGAUUCUUCCUCAGUCAAGCUUCAGGACCUGCUUUGCAGAAAGGAUCUCAUUGAGAAUAGCAAAAGGAAGUUGGGAACCAUUACAGUGCCCAGCUGUAUUGGUAGAGGAGACCAACCACACCCUCCACAGCACAGCACCUGGAGAGGAACUGCUGCCAUGACCAUAGAGGACACCCUCUGGAUACAAUGCCAGACUUGAUGUGGGACUGACCAACCUAUGGACCCCAGGCACCACCACCCAGACCUGCUCAGCACCUGAAACAUUCACAGCCGUGGAGAGAGAACUGUUCACUGCUACCAUCCACACUUCUGGGCCCCUUCAGCAGCAGGGUGACAAGGAAGAGGGAAAUCGACUUGGAAAAGAGGGGCGAAAAGGAGGCUUAAGGACAUAAUUUGGCCUUGGUGGAAGAGGAGAGGGUCAGCCAGAAGCAGGUCCAGAGUCAGGGGGACCUCUGACCCAAGAGUUCGGUCAAUGCAUAUGUUGGCAGCCAGCUGCACAUCGCACCAAAUAUGAACUUCAAAUAGAAGAAAGCCUCAUUUGGAAGAAAGCUCAUGCACAGACUGUAAAUAUUUCAGAGCAGAUUGUGUCUCUGUAGAUUAAGUAAGUUGUGAAAGUCUGAACCUCUGCCAAAAUUUUAAGACCUUGACCUUUACAUCUCUGAGUUUCUAUCUGUCAUUUUUCCUUUCUAUCUGUCAUUUUACCUUUCAUACUUAUAAAAUGGAAUUCAUAAUCUUCUCAGCC
Homo sapiens (human) is the source of this 875-nucleotide long non-coding RNA. Ensembl annotates it as MIR3976 host gene. The record is from Ensembl. Lineage: Eukaryota; Metazoa; Chordata; Mammalia; Primates; Hominidae.